RNAcentral lists this ribosomal RNA (441 nucleotides) under uncultured bacterium. RNAcentral describes it as "partial 16S ribosomal RNA". It matches the Rfam family "Bacterial small subunit ribosomal RNA", at positions 338 to 795 of the family's 1533-position model. The record is from RNAcentral.
CCUACGGGUGGCAGCAGUGAGGAAUAUUGCACAAUGGGGGAAACCCUGAUGCAGCAACGCAGCGUGAAGGAAGACGGCUUUCGGAUUGUAAACUUCUGUUCUUAGGGAAGUAUAAUGACGGUAGCUCAGGAGCAAGCCACGGCUAACUACGUGCCAGCAGCCACGGUAAUACGUAGGUGGCACGCGUUUUCCGGAAUUACUGGGUGUAAAGGGAGCGCAGGCGGGAAGUCAAGUCAGCUGUGAAAACUACUGGCUUAACUUGGAUACUGCAGUUGAAAAUGGUGUUCGUGAGUGAAGUAGAGGUUGGCGGAAGUCCGAGUGUAGCGGUGAAAGGCGUAGAUAUUAGGAGGAACAACGGUGGCGAAGGCGGCCAACUGGGCUUUAACUGACGCUGAGGCUCGAAAGUGUGGGGAGCAAACAGGAUUAGAUACCCUUGUAGUC